RNAcentral lists this ribosomal RNA (424 nucleotides) under uncultured bacterium. RNAcentral's name for it is "bacterial SSU rRNA". It matches the Rfam family "Bacterial small subunit ribosomal RNA", at positions 358 to 795 of the family's 1533-position model. The record is from RNAcentral.
GGAAUUUUCCGCAAUGGGCGAAAGCCUGACGGAGCAACGCCGCGUGAGUGAUGAAGGUCUUCGGAUCGUAAAACUCUGUUAUUAGGGAAGAACAAAUUUGACGGUACCUAAUCAGAAAGCCACGGCUAACUACGUGCCAGCAGCCGCGGUAAUACGUAGGUGGCAAGCGUUAUCCGGAAUUAUUGGGCGUAAAGCGCGCGUAGGCGGUUUUUUAAGUCUGAUGUGAAAGCCCACGGCUCAACCGUGGAGGGUCAUUGGAAACUGGAAAACUUGAGUGCAGAAGAGGAAAGUGGAAUUCCAUGUGUAGCGGUGAAAUGCGCAGAGAUAUGGAGGAACACCAGUGGCGAAGGCGACUUUCUGGUCUGUAACUGACGCUGAUGUGCGAAAGCGUGGGGAUCAAACAGGAUUAGAUACCCCUGUAGUC